This 492-nucleotide ribosomal RNA is filed under the name uncultured bacterium. Its description in RNAcentral is "partial 16S ribosomal RNA". It matches the Rfam family "Bacterial small subunit ribosomal RNA", at positions 29 to 507 of the family's 1533-position model. The record is from RNAcentral.
AGUGAACGCUGGCGGUAGGCCUAACACAUGCAAGUCGAACGGCAGCACAGUAAGAGCUUGCUCUUACGGGUGGCGAGUGGCGGACGGGUGAGGAAUACAUCGGAAUCUACUUUUUCGUGGGGGAUAACGUAGGGAAACUUACGCUAAUACCGCAUACGACCUACGGGUGGAAGCAGGGGAUCUUCGGACCUUGCGCGAUUGAAUGAGCCGAUGUCGGAUUAGCUAGUUGGCGGGGUAAAGGCCCACCAUGGCGACGAUCCGUAGCUGGUCUGAGAGGAUGAUCAGCCGCACUGGAACUGAGACACGGUCCAGACUCCUACGGGAGGCAGCAGUGGGGAAUAUUGGACAAUGGGCGCAAGCCUGAUCCAGCCAUACCGCGUGGGUGAAGAAGGCCUUCGGGUUGUAAAGCCCUUUUGUUGGGAAAGAAAAGCAGCAGGUUAAUACCCCGCUGUUCUGACGGUACCCAAAAAAUAAGCACCGGCUAACUACGUG